UUAAAUUGAAGAGUUUGAUCAUGGCUCAGAUUGAACGCUGGCGGCAGGCCUAACACAUGCAAGUCGAACGGUAACAGGAAGCAGCUUGCUGCUUUGCUGACGAGUGGCGGACGGGUGAGUAAUGUCUGGGAAGCUGCCUGAUGGAGGGGGAUAACUACUGGAAACGGUAGCUAAUACCGCAUAACGUCGCAAGACCAAAGAGGGGGACCUUCGGGCCUCUUGCCAUCGGAUGUGCCCAGAUGGGAUUAGCUAGUAGGUGGGGUAACGGCUCACCUAGGCGACGAUCCCUAGCUGGUCUGAGAGGAUGACCAGCCACACUGGAACUGAGACACGGUCCAGACUCCUACGGGAGGCAGCAGUGGGGAAUAUUGCACAAUGGGCGCAAGCCUGAUGCAGCCAUGCCGCGUGUAUGAAGAAGGCCUUCGGGUUGUAAAGUACUUUCAGCGGGGAGGAAGGGAGUAAAGUUAAUACCUUUGCUCAUUGACGUUACCCGCAGAAGAAGCACCGGCU
This 510-nucleotide ribosomal RNA is filed under the name Escherichia coli. RNAcentral describes it as "bacterial SSU rRNA". It matches the Rfam family "Bacterial small subunit ribosomal RNA", at positions 1 to 498 of the family's 1533-position model. The record is from RNAcentral. Lineage: Bacteria; Pseudomonadati; Pseudomonadota; Gammaproteobacteria; Enterobacterales; Enterobacteriaceae.